This 126-nucleotide ribosomal RNA is filed under the name [Clostridium] innocuum. The record is from RNAcentral. Lineage: Bacteria; Bacillati; Bacillota; Clostridia; Eubacteriales; Clostridiaceae.
AGGUUUUGCAAAUGAGGAUGCAAGCAGAGUGGGUUUAACCAUGGAGGAAACUCCAUAGUUAAGUGCGCUCGAGUUGGAGUAGUACUGGGAUGGGUGACCUCCCGGGAAGUCCCGGUGCUUCACCUC